CAGUCGCCACGGUAAUACGUAGGGUGCAAGCGUUGUCCGGAAUUAUUGGGCGUAAAGAGCUCGUAGGCGGUUUGUCGCGUCUGCUGUGAAAUCCCGAGGCUCAACCUCGGGCUUGCAGUGGGUACGGGCAGACUAGAGUGCGGUAGGGGAGAUUGGAAUUCCUGGUGUAGCGGUGGAAUGCGCAGAUAUCAGGAGGAACACCGAUGGCGAAGGCAGAUCUCUGGGCCGUAACUGACGCUGAGGAGCGAAAGCGUGGGGAGCGAACAGGAUUAGAUACCCCCGUAGUCCCUGUCUCUUAUAC
This 301-nucleotide ribosomal RNA is filed under the name uncultured bacterium. RNAcentral describes it as "partial 16S ribosomal RNA". It matches the Rfam family "Bacterial small subunit ribosomal RNA", at positions 509 to 807 of the family's 1533-position model. The record is from RNAcentral.